This 396-nucleotide ribosomal RNA is filed under the name Rickettsia asembonensis. RNAcentral's name for it is "bacterial SSU rRNA". It matches the Rfam family "Bacterial small subunit ribosomal RNA", at positions 29 to 438 of the family's 1533-position model. Lineage: Bacteria; Pseudomonadati; Pseudomonadota; Alphaproteobacteria; Rickettsiales; Rickettsiaceae. The record is from RNAcentral. RNAcentral also lists the same sequence under 1 other name.
AACGAACGCUAUCGGUAUGCUUAACACAUGCAAGUCGGACGGACUAAUUGGGGCUUGCUCCAAUUAGUUAGUGGCAGACGGGUGAGUAACACGUGGGAAUCUGCCCAUCAGUACGGAAUAACUUUUAGAAAUAAAAGCUAAUACCGUAUAUUCUCUACGGAGGAAAGAUUUAUCGCUGAUGGAUGAGCCCGCGUCAGAUUAGGUAGUUGGUGAGGUAACGGCUCACUAAGCCGACGAUCUGUAGCUGGUCUGAGAGGAUGAUCAGCCACACUGGGACUGAGACACGGCCCAGACUCCUACGGGAGGCAGCAGUGGGGAAUAUUGGACAAUGGGCGAAAGCCUGAUCCAGCAAUACCGAGUGAGUGAUGAAGGCCUUAGGGUUGUAAAGCUCUUUUA